Eriocheir sinensis (Chinese mitten crab) is the source of this 5189-nucleotide RNA transcript. RefSeq lists it as uncharacterized. The record is from RefSeq and is a predicted model, not a curated record. Lineage: Eukaryota; Metazoa; Arthropoda; Malacostraca; Decapoda; Varunidae. The transcript is spliced from 13 exons.
GAGGCAGCAGCGGGUAGCGGCUGAGGACUGACGGAGCGAGUGGGUGGAUUAGCGAGACAGCCCACUGGACCCUCAUUCUACCCGCGCCACGGUCCCCUCCUCAACCUGCUCGCCUCCUGUCCUGUCCUGCCCGCCCUGUCCACCGAACACGCGUGCACUCUGAAACUACCUUUGUGUCCCUCCUCAACGCGGCUCUCCUGACUGACUCCACCCCACGGAACAGUUACAUAAAGCCUAUUACUCGGUCUUUGCACAGUGAGGAUAAGCCUAGACCGGUAAAAUAGCUCCCCCGUGUGUCACUCAACUAUCUAACACUGGAACACACAAAAGAAGUGAAGAUAAAGUGAAAGAGGUGAUUAAAGUGUAAGAAAAUAGUUUGUGUGGCGUUAUGAAUGUAGUUUUAUAAUACGAGACCACGGAAAAGUGAAGGGAAACUUUAUAAUUUGGUGUGCCAGUGAGUAUAGUGAAAAUAUAAACAUAUAUACAGUGAAGAGAAAAGAUAAGAAAAACAAAGUAGUCUUAUACUUUACUACAUAAGCUUGUAACAGAAAUAUGACUCAUUCUUACUCUAGUGCGCGUUUAGAAGUAUCAAAAUAAUGUGAAAAAAAGGAGAAAGGUGAAGCAAAGGUGAACAGAAAACGUGGUGAUGGUGGAGACCUUGGUUGUCCUGCUCGUAACGCUACAGUAGCAACGGACGAAGCAUAAAAAACAACAGCAAAAAGCAAAAACAGGAGGUCCAUUUUCGCGCCUCGUCCAAGGGUAAUGAAUUUAUCCUGUUGGUGUCGUAGUGGCGUCGGUGGAGGUAGUAGUAUUAGUAGUAGUGGUGGUGGUGGUAGUGGUAGUGUAUACCCAUCAACCAUCUCUCGUGUCUAACUGAUAUGAAGUUUAACUCACGCUGAUAAGAAAGAAUUUAUACUAGGAAACUACGCUGUGCUGUGACACCGCAUGUUUGCCGUAUUAACUGUGAGUGUGUGUGAGUGUUUGUGUAACUGUGUCGGAGAAAAAGACUGACACAAGAGAGGGAGAGAGAGAAAAAAAAUAAAGCACUUCGUUUAGCUUUGUGUCGGUGUGCUGUGACUGCGUGUGCGUGUGUAACGGCAUUGAAGGGAAAAAAAGAGGAAAAAAGAAGAGUAAGAGAGAAGGAAGAGAGAAAAAAUUGAUACUAAGUGCUCUCUCAUCAUCCGGUUGGCAUUUUUCUGUGUGUGUGUGUGAGUGUGCGCGCGAAGUGACAUUGAGAGGACGAAAAGAGAAAGAUAGAAAAGAGUACAAGGCAGAAAAGGGAGAAAAAGCUACACAACAGAAAAUAUAGGAGGACAAAAAGAGAGAUAAAGAUAAGGCGGGAAAGUGAGAAAAAGUUAUACAACUGUUAAAAUAGGAGGACGAACAGAGAUAGAUAAAUAAGAGAACAAGGCAGAAAAGGGAGAAAAAGCUACACAACAGAAAAUAUAGGAGGACAAAAAGAGAGAUAAAGAUAAGGCAGAAAAAGGGAGAAAAAGUUACACAACGGUUAAAAUAGGACGAAAAGAGAAAGAGAAAUAAGAGAACAAGGCAGAAAAGGGAGAAAAAGCUACACAUAGAAAAAUACAGGACAAAAAGAGAGAUAAAGAUAAGGCGGAAAAAGGGAGAAAAAGUUACACAACGGUUGAAAUAGGACGACGAAAAGAGAAAUAAAGAAAACAAGGCAGAAAAAGAGAAAAAAAAGGUAUAAGAAAAAAAUAGGGUUGAUCAAGUGCAGUGAGGGUGAAAAUCAUGUGGUGAUGGUGGACCUGCCAGCAUCUGAGGACACAGGAUCUUACAAUAACGACGUAAAAAGAAGCAAAACCAGUUACGCCCGUCGGCUCGAAUUGCAAGUGUGUGGCGGCGGCGGCGGUGGCGGUGCUGGCCGUGGUGAAAUGACGAAAGGACGUGACAUGGCGAGGCGGCGCGUCGCCAGCCUGCCCGUGGCGGUGGUGGCGAUGGCGAUGGUGUGUGUCCCCGCCGCCGCCACCACCACUCUUUCGCCGUCAGAAAACGUGGACGACCCCUUGAUGGUGGGGACCUCGAGCCACCACUGCAACUGGACGCGAGCGAUGGGCCCCGUCUGCGUCUACAACACCACCAGUCAGGUGGUGGUGGUGCCGGAGGGGCUGGAGUUCUCUUCGGGUCAGCUGGAGUUGGAGAUUCACGACCCGAGCGUGGUCCAGCUGUACCCCACCUGUGUGUCCUGGAUCCAGGUGUACAACGCCGGCGAGAUCAACACGCUUCCUGCAGAGCGGAACAUGGACUGUCGCACGUGGCUUCGGGUCUACAACUCCAAGGCGGGGCGGAUCGAGUACGGUGUCAAGGACCUCACGCUUCUGAACUCCGAAGUCGAGACCAUCAAACUCUUCGACCAGCGGGACUUCAUGGCCAUCAACUCGAGCAUCCGGGAGAUCGAGGAGCUGGACUGGGGCGGGUACAGGGCCACGGUGCUCAACACUUCCAUCGGGCGGCUGUCUGGGGUGCAGGCGAGGGACAGCUGGUAUGUUCUCGACGGUCGCUUCGGAUCCGUGGCCACCGGCGGGAUUGUCUUCAACGCGAGGGAGAUGUCGGUGAUCAACAGCACCAUCAAACACAUGUCCGCGAAGUCCCUCACCAUCAAGAAAGGCACCGUGACCUUCGCUAACGUCUCCAUCAACUACUUGGAGGCGCUGGCAAUCAUGGUGUCAAGCCCCAUUGCGUACCUCUCCCUCAAUAACAUCACCAUCGGAGCCGCCAACGCCCCUUGCUUCGUCCUCCUCGACCGCGAUAGCGUGUCACUGACCAAUGUCACCGUCCUCGGCAUCCCCAUCAACGAGAGCUCCCCAUUCCUCCACUUCCUCGAGGACUCCGGGGCCGAGAGCAGCGAAUACUUGGUAGCGGUGAGCGAGCAGCGGGAGGAGUGUGUGUCCAACGAGACCUCCCUCUCUUGUGACUUCAUCAAGAACGCGGAGAAAGUGGAGAUCCGGGAGAAGAAGAUUCGGAACGUCAAGCAGGUCGAGGUCCGCAACGCAAACUCCCUUUUGGUCACUUCGAUGCCCUGCAAGACUGAGCUACGACUGAAGAACGUCAACGCCACGCUACCCCACUUCGCGGCAGUGCCAGGAGAGGGCGACAACACCACCACACGCAUCGGCAUCGUCACGGUUACCACCCCCGAUAACACCACCACCUGUAACGUUACGGUCGUCGUCUCGAACUCGUCCCUCAAUGUGGUGUGGGCGAGGCACAUGAAAAGUCUCAACGUGAAGAACUCCUCGAUCAAGAGGAUUCAUGGGGGUCGUCUGGAUGGCUUUGUGCUGGCCGGGUCGACGGUGGAGGAGAUGGACGGGGUGGAGGUUGUGGGUCGAGGCGCCCACUGGAGCAGGUCAAGCUUCCCCGGCAGCAUAUCCGUGACCCUCAAGGCGCCCCUCGAAUCCUCCGCCAUCAAUCUCCUACAUCUGGAAGAAAACUCCUUGAUCAUAGACCAUCCCGGUGAGACGACGACGGUGACGGGGUGGCGGCUGGGCUGGAUGCGGCGGCGCAGCAUUGUGGUGAAGAAUGGGAGUCACGUUGAGCUGAGCCACAUGAUGGCUGAUCGCAUCGUCCAGGAAGCCAUCUACCUGGAGGAAGGCGCCUCAGCCUCCGCCAAGAACUUCCACACUUUGCUGGACUCCAUCAACAUCUUUUCGGUGGCCAGAAGUGACCAGCUGGAUCUCAAGGGCUUCACCGGCAGCAAGAUGUACCACGUCCGGGCUCUGUCACCCACCGCAGACCACCAGAGUAACUACACCGUCAGCGACACCCACAUCUCCGCCUACUGCCGCAGCAUCCCUUAUUACCUACAGAUCUGUGACUUCAGCACCGCCCCACAGGGGAGCGUGACGGUGGAUUUAGCGGACGGACAGGUGAGCAACAGAGUGAUCAUCAAAGGAGCCUCAUCGGUGAAACUCUUCCCUUCAUGCGUCGAGAAGAUAAUCUUGAUGAACGUGAAGGAGGCGAGCACGGUGGAGAGUGAUCGUGAUUGCGGCACGUGGCUUGAGGCGUUCGGGGUGCACCUGACCAAUGUGACCUUUGGGGUACACGACGUGACCCUUAAGUCGUGCACGGUGGACCUCCUGGCGCCGGACCGGAGGCUUCGCGACGUGGACUUGGAAGGAUCGAGUGUGAGCCGCGUGGUGGGUGUGCACUGGGCAGGCUACACGGGGGUCUUCAACAACUCUCGUCUCGGGGAGGUGAGGAGUCUCCGCGCGGACAGCCGGCUCAUGAUGUCCAACUCGACGGUGGAGAAAGUGGUGACAGGAGGGAUGUUCCUCGCGGCGGAGGCCAUCAUCGCCAAGACAACCUUCAAAGAGAUCCAAAGUUACGGCAUCACUGUCAACCAAUCCACGCGCAUGCAAGACGUCAUCAUUGAGAAGCUGGACCGCCGAGGCAUCAACGUUCUCGACGGAUUGCUGCUGCUGGUGAACGUCAGGAUAUUGAAAGCAGAGCAUGAGAGCAUCACAGCAGAGGCCAACGGCGGGAUAUCCUUCCAGAACGUGACGGUAGAGGGGAAGAAGGUGCAUUGGCGGGGGUAUCUCACCACGAACAAUUCUUCUCUCAAACAGUCCGUCAUCUUCCUCAACAAACUCUUCAACGGGACCGAAGCCAACGUGACAGAGAAGCAGAAAACCUCUUCCACCACCACCACCACUACCACGCCCGCAAGACCCUCCCCGCAGGCGUCGUCGAGGGUGCAGUGGCGGACGACGAACUCAGGGGACGAGGCGAUCAGCUCCGAGGCCCCUAACCCCCUGGAAGGCCCCGCCCCCUCGUCGUCCUGGAAGUGGGCGGGGGCGGGCAUCGGGUUCUGCAUGGGGCUGGUGGUCGGUUGUUGCAUCUUCAUCGCCGUCAAAGUCAUCAAGCCCAACAAAGGGAUGCUGACUCUCCCGACGGUGUUCUGGAGGGUUAAGGACGACCACCACGAGCUUCUGCAGGAGGAGCAGGCCGUUGAGGAUCCUCCCGUGACGCGGCGGGACCAAGGCUACACCGCUUUGCCUCGUUCCGAUGUAUAGUAUUUAACUUGUGAUGAAUGUACUGUCACUGAGUGGACCACGUGGAGCAAUUGAAUGCCUGGAACAUCUGUAUGUUGCCUUCGACUUCUUAACUGCAGGUUGUGGCCACAGGCUCUCCAGGGAUACCUUCAGGCAGAAAUUAAGAACAUAUUCCUGGAU